This 986-nucleotide long non-coding RNA is filed under the name Carassius auratus (goldfish). RNAcentral describes it as "lncRNA (ENSCARG00000056098.1)". Lineage: Eukaryota; Metazoa; Chordata; Actinopteri; Cypriniformes; Cyprinidae. The record is from RNAcentral.
GUCAAACAUAGUCUAUUUUGCUGUCAAUACUGUUGAUGGUGUCCUUUAUCAGUAGGCUUUAUAUUUAUGCUUAACAUGAAGGUGUAGGUGUAUAAAAAAAUUUUUGAAAUUGUUGUCAUGAAGUCAAGAUCCUGGUCUGUCGGCGGUCUCCCUCUAUGUCCCCUACAGCAGCAGCGCGUCAGGCAUGAAUCUGGUGUGACAGAAAACACGCAGCGGUCGCCACGCAACUGACACGCAGCAGAAACGCCACGCUCACGCCAUGCAUCCAGUGUGUCACCGACAGUCCUGCUCGAGACAUUUUCUUUUUCUCUGAAAUACUUCAAGUUCAAAUAUCAGGACGUCACGACUUCGACUGAUGGAAAAUUAUUCGUUUAAGAAACUGAGUCUGUGAACAUAUAACGACAUUCAGAAUCACAAUCAUGAAUGCUGUAAAUACUGUGCAGCUGUUCAUUCUGGUUUGGACCUUUACUGCUGUCUGUCAAGCUGAUGAUGAUAUCAGUGUAAGCUGUGAUGAUGUGACUGGAUCUGUGGGGAAAGAAAUGAAUCUCACCUGCAGCGUCUCUCUGAAGAUCACUGAAUGCUGCAUUAUAAUGUAUAAGUUUCAAUACCCUGAGAUCUAUGAUGGCUCUGCAAUUUGUCGUCAAGAUGUUUCUGUGAACCCCUGUAAACGGAGAAACAGUUUCACAUGCCUCUUCACUCCAACUACAGCAAUGACAAAACAAUUCAGAUUCUUUGUGCAAACAAACUGUGGAGUGAAAAAAGAAGACAUUCUUACUAUUGAAGCAUCAGAACAUGUGAACCCAGAAAACCCAGAAAACCCAUCAGGAUUCAAGAAUAAUACGAUCACUGUGGUUGUGCUUGGUUUCAUCAUCGUCAUCUUCAUCAUCAUGAUGGCGAUCAUUUACAAAACAAAACUGAACUUCACCAAAUUUUGUAGACGAGUCAGACAUGAUGAGGACAAUCGUCGAGAAAUUGAGAUAUUAUAG